Molecule: long non-coding RNA, 231 nt
Filed under: Vicia faba (fava bean)
Lineage: Eukaryota; Viridiplantae; Streptophyta; Magnoliopsida; Fabales; Fabaceae
Source: RNAcentral
AUGGCUCGUUCAAUUUCUCUUGUUUCCACCAUCUUUGUCUUCCUUCUCAUUCUUGUGGCCACUGGGCCAAAUAUGGUGGCAGAGGCAAGAGAUUGUGAAUCUAAAAGUCACAAAUUCAAAGGAACAUGUUUGAGUGACACCAACUGUGCUUCUGUGUGCCAAACAGAACGUUUCCCCGGUGGACACUGCCGUGGAUUCCGUCAUAGAUGUUUUUGCACUAAACAUUGUUGA